Molecule: ribosomal RNA, 491 nt
Filed under: uncultured bacterium
Lineage: Bacteria
Description: bacterial SSU rRNA
Rfam family: Bacterial small subunit ribosomal RNA
Source: RNAcentral
ACGAGUUUGAUCCUGGCUCAGGAUGAACGCUAGCGGCAGGCUUAAUACAUGCAAGUCAAGGGGGUAGCAAUACUACCGGCGCACGGGUGAGUAACACGUACAUAACAUACCAUAUACUGGGGUAUAGCUUUGGGAAACUGAAGGUAAUCCCCCAUAACAUUGCGAGAGGGCAUCUGAUUGCAAUUAAAGUUUCGACGGUAUAUGAUUGAUGUGCGUUUGAUUAGCUUGUUGGUAGGGUAACGGCCUACCAAGGCGACGAUCAAUAGCUGGCGUGAGAGCGCGACCAGCCACACUGGAACUGAGACACGGUCCAGACUCCUACGGGAGGCAGCAGUAGGGAAUAUUGGGACAAUGGGCGAAAGCCUGGAUCCAGCCAUGCCGCGUGAUAGAUGAAGGCCCUCUGGGUUGUAAAUAUCUUUUAUCUGGGAAGAAACAAUCUUAUUCUUAAGAUCUUGACGGUACCAGAGGAAUAAGCACCGGCUAACUCCGUG